AACGAACGCUGGCGGCAGGCUUAACACAUGCAAGUCGAGCGCCCCGCAAGGGGAGCGGCAGACGGGUGAGUAACGCGUGGGAACGUACCUUUUGGUUCGGAACAACUCCGGGAAACUGGAGCUAAUACCGGAUAAGCCCUAACGGGGAAAGAUUUAUCGCCGAACGAUCGGCCCGCGUCUGAUUAGCUAGUGGGUGAGGUAACGGCUCACCAAGGCGACGAUCAGUAGCUGGUCUGAGAGGAUGAGCAGCCACGCUGGGACUGAGACACGGCCCAGACUCCUACGGGAGGGAGCAGUGGGGAAUAUUGGAGAAGGGGCGCAAGCCUGAUACAGCCAUGCCGCGUGAGUGAUGAAGGCCUUAGGGUUGUAAAGCUCUUUUGUCCGGGAAGAUAAUGACUGUACCGGAAGAAUAAGCCCCGGCUAACUUCGUG
This 431-nucleotide ribosomal RNA is filed under the name uncultured bacterium. RNAcentral's name for it is "partial 16S ribosomal RNA". It matches the Rfam family "Bacterial small subunit ribosomal RNA", at positions 29 to 507 of the family's 1533-position model. The record is from RNAcentral.